This 254-nucleotide ribosomal RNA is filed under the name uncultured bacterium. RNAcentral's name for it is "partial 16S ribosomal RNA". It matches the Rfam family "Bacterial small subunit ribosomal RNA", at positions 524 to 776 of the family's 1533-position model. The record is from RNAcentral.
CACGUAGGGGGCGAGCGUUGUCCGGAUUUAUUGGGCGUAAAGAGCUCGUAGGCGGUUUCGUAAGUCGGGUGUGAAAACUUCAGGCUCAACCUGGAGACGCCACCCGAUACUGCGAUGACUAGAGUCCGGUAGGGGAGUGUGGAAUUCCUGGUGUAGCGGUGAAAUGCGCAGAUAUCAGGAGGAACACCAACGGCGAAGGCAGCACUCUGGGCCGGAACUGACGCUGAGGAGCGAAAGCGUGGGUAGCGAACAGG